Molecule: ribosomal RNA, 740 nt
Filed under: uncultured archaeon
Lineage: Archaea
Description: bacterial SSU rRNA
Rfam family: Archaeal small subunit ribosomal RNA
Source: RNAcentral
UUCCGGUUGAUCCCGCCGGACCCGACUGCUAUCAGAGUGGGACUAAGCCAUGCGAGUCGACGUAGCAAUGCGUGGCGAACGGCUCAGUAACACGUAGUCAACAUGCCCAGGGGACGUGGAUAACCUCGGGAAACUGAGAAUAAACCACGAUAGGUCACGAUUUCUGGAAUGGAUCAUGGCCUAAAUCUACAUGGCCCCUGGAUUGGACUGCGGCCGAUCAGGCAGUUGGUGAGGUAAUGGCCCACCAAACCUAUAACCGGUACGGGCUCUGAGAGGAGAAGCCCGGAGAUGGGCACUGAGACAAGGGCCCAGGCCCUGUGGGGCGCAGCAGGCGCGAAACCUCUGCAAUAGGCGAAAGCCUGACAGGGUUACUCUGAGUGAUUUCCGCUAAGGGGAUCUUUUGGCACCUCUAAAAAUGGUGCAGAAUAAGGGGUGGGCAAGUCUGGUGUCAGCCGCCGCGGUAAUACCAGCACCCCGAGUGGUCGGGACGAUUAUUGGGCCUAAAGCAUCCGUAGCCGGUUCUGCAAGUCUUCCGUUAAAUCCAGCCGCUCAACGGAUGGGCCGCGGAGGAUACUACAGGACUAGGAGGCGGGAGAGGCAAGCGGUACUCAGUGGGUAGGGGUAAAAUCCUUUGAUCCAUUGAAGACCACCAGUGGCGAAGGCGGCUUGCCAGAACGCGCUCGACGGUGAGGGAUGAAAGCUGGGGGAGCAAACCGGAUUAGAUACCCGGGUAGUCCCAG